RNAcentral lists this transfer RNA (72 nucleotides) under Cordylochernes scorpioides. RNAcentral's name for it is "tRNA-Thr". It matches the Rfam family "tRNA". From Rfam's summary of the family: Transfer RNA (tRNA) molecules are approximately 80 nucleotides in length. Their secondary structure includes four short double-helical elements and three loops (D, anti-codon, and T loops). Further hydrogen bonds mediate the characteristic L-shaped molecular structure. tRNAs have two regions of fundamental functional importance: the anti-codon, which is responsible for specific mRNA codon recognition, and the 3' end, to which the tRNAs corresponding amino acid is attached (by aminoacyl-tRNA synthetases). tRNAs cope with the degeneracy of the genetic code in two manners: having more than one tRNA (with a specific anti-codon) for a particular amino acid; and 'wobble' base-pairing, i.e. permitting non-standard base-pairing at the 3rd anti-codon position. The record is from RNAcentral. Lineage: Eukaryota; Metazoa; Arthropoda; Arachnida; Pseudoscorpiones; Chernetidae.
UCCAGGGUACCUAGUGGACAUGGCAUCUGUCCGGUAAGCGGAACACUGUGGGCUCGAUUCCCAUCCCUGGAC